GCCAUGGAGACAGCAGCCCUUAGUGAUCAGAGGGUAAUAGGAAAUUUCCUGAAAAAGAGACAGGAUGGUGUGGAGAGGGAUGGAGGGAAACCCCACUGAGAGCUUCACAUUCCGAUGGAAUUGAUAUGAAACUCAGGGUUCUUGUGGCCUUUUCCCACGAUGUGACUAACGUUCGAGGUUCGCCCGGUAAGAAGUGAGCUCCAGGGGUUACCGCGGAGCAGCACCCUUCCCAGGAUCUCUACAAACUCACACUCAAGGGAAAUCCACUGCUCCGGCUCAGAUCAGCUUCCUGAAUUUCCAGUUCGAAUUGUGAAGAGCUCUGCUCCAACUAGGAGAUUGCCUAGUGUCAGUGAUAGGAGUUUUGUGUUCUCCAUAUUAGCAGAAUGGAUGCAAAGUAACUUCCAAGUGUGGAACAAGCAGACA
This 423-nucleotide long non-coding RNA is filed under the name Fukomys damarensis (Damara mole-rat). RNAcentral describes it as "lncRNA (ENSFDAG00000026981.1)". Lineage: Eukaryota; Metazoa; Chordata; Mammalia; Rodentia; Bathyergidae. The record is from RNAcentral.